This 557-nucleotide ribosomal RNA is filed under the name uncultured marine eukaryote. Its description in RNAcentral is "SSU rRNA". It matches the Rfam family "Eukaryotic small subunit ribosomal RNA", at positions 614 to 1171 of the family's 1831-position model. The record is from RNAcentral.
UGCAGUUAAAAAGCUCGUAGUCUGACCAUUGGCGGGCACUGAGCGUCCGCGGUUACUGAUCGUGUGUACGCGAGGUGUUGGCCACUACCUUCGGAGGAGCGUUCGUGCUUUUAACUAAGUGCGUGCGGGAUUCCGAUAGUUUACUUUGAGAAAAAUAGAGUGUUCAAAGCAGGCGUUUGCCUUGAAUACAUUAGCAUGGGAUAAUGAAAUAGGACGUUGGUUCUAUUUUGAUGGUUUACGGACCGACGUAAUGAUUAAUAGGGACAGUUGGGGGCGUUUAUAUUCCAUGGCUAGAGGUGAAAUUCUUGGAUUCAUGGAAGAUAAACUACUGCGAAAGCAUUUGCCAAAGAUGUUUUCAUUGAUCAAGAACGAAAGUUAGGGGAGCAAAGACGAUCAGAUACCGUCGUAGUCUUAACCAUAAACGAUGCCGACUAGGGAUCGGUGGGCGUUAGUUUGAUGACUCCAUCGGCACCUCAUGGGAAACCAAAGUCUUUGGGUUCCGGGGGGAGUAUGGUCGCAAGGCUGAAACUUAAAGGAAUUGACGGAAGGGCACCACC